CAACAACACAUGCAAGUUCGGUUGCAGAAACAAAUCCGCCACAACACAAACAACACACACCAAAACUGGUGUAUGGAGAUAUUUUUCAGUUGAUGCGGAUCAGCAGGGACAAGUUAUAGACGACCAGAAGAAGACAAUCUCAAAUAAAAGGAGGAAACACCUCAAUCUUAUCUAAGCAGCUCAAAGAGAGGCCUCCGGAUCUGUACACAGAACUCGGGAGAGAGACGGCAGUUUCCUGAAAACCCAGGGACGACUUCUGUGUCUUGGGCUCUGAGGACCUUCUCUCUGGGACUCACAGCUGGGACGUCGAGCAUUUAUUGCGAACUAGUGGUGACUGGUGAGUGCUUCUGCGCGGAGGAAGUGGAAGAGGGAACACCUGAUUGAAGAAAAGAUGGUGUUGUGCCCUGACAGUCAACCUCCUGCACCAUGCAGCCCAAACAUGAGGAACCGAGGAAGU
Molecule: long non-coding RNA, 457 nt
Organism: Seriola aureovittata
Lineage: Eukaryota; Metazoa; Chordata; Actinopteri; Carangiformes; Carangidae
Exons: 4
Source: RefSeq, a predicted model, not a curated record